Molecule: ribosomal RNA, 496 nt
Filed under: uncultured bacterium
Lineage: Bacteria
Description: partial 16S ribosomal RNA
Rfam family: Bacterial small subunit ribosomal RNA
Source: RNAcentral
AUGAACGCUGGCGGCGUGCCUAAUACAUGCAAGUCGAGCGAACAGAUGAGGAGCUUGCUCCUCUGACGUUAGCGGCGGACGGGUGAGUAACACGUGGAUAACCUACCUAUAAGACUGGGAUAACUUCGGGAAACCGGAGCUAAUACCGGAUAAUAUAUUGAACCGCAUGGUUCAAUAUUGAAAGACGGUUUUGCUGUCACUUAUAGAUGGAUCCGCGCCGCAUUAGCUAGUUGGUAAGGUAACGGCUUACCAAGGCAACGAUGCGUAGCCGACCUGAGAGGGUGAUCGGCCACACUGGAACUGAGACACGGUCCAGACUCCUACGGGAGGCAGCAGUAGGGAAUCUUCCGCAAUGGGCGAAAGCCUGACGGAGCAACGCCGCGUGAGUGAUGAAGGUCUUCGGAUCGUAAAACUCUGUUAUUAGGGAAGAACAAAUGUGUAAGUAACUAUGCACGUCUUGACGGUACCUAAUCAGAAAGCCACGGCUAACUACGUG